This 430-nucleotide ribosomal RNA is filed under the name uncultured bacterium. RNAcentral describes it as "bacterial SSU rRNA". It matches the Rfam family "Bacterial small subunit ribosomal RNA", at positions 355 to 776 of the family's 1533-position model. The record is from RNAcentral.
UGGGGAAUAUUGGGCAAUGGGCGAAAGCCUGACCCAGCGACGCCGCGUGGGCGAUGAAGGCCUUCGGGUCGUAAAGCCCUGUCAUGCGGAAAGAAAAGUCCCGCGAUUAAUACUCGCGAGAUGUGACGGUACCGCAGAAGGAAGCACCGGCUAACUCCGUGCCAGCAGCCGCGGUAAUACGGAGGGUGCAAGCGUUGUUCGGAAUUACUGGGCGUAAAGGGCGCGUAGGCGGUAAUAUAAGUCAAAUGUGAAAUCCUCCAGCUUAACUGGAGAACAGCAUCUGAAACUGUGUAACUAGAGUACAGGAGAGGGAAACGGAAUUCCCGGUGUAGAGGUGAAAUUCGUAGAUAUCGGGAGGAACACCAGUGGCGAAGGCGGUUUCCUGGCCUGAUACUGACGCUGAGGCGCGAAAGCGUGGGGAGCAAACAGG